GAUGAACGCUGGCGGCGUGCCUAAUACAUGCAAGUCGAGCGAACAGAUGAGGAGCUUGCUCCUCUGACGUUAGCGGCGGACGGGUGAGUAACACGUGGAUAACCUACCUAUAAGACUGGGAUAACUUCGGGAAACCGGAGCUAAUACCGGAUAAUAUAUUGAACCGCAUGGUUCAAUAGUGAAAGACGGUUUUGCUGUCACUUAUAGAUGGAUCCGCGCCGCAUUAGCUAGUUGGUAAGGUAACGGCUUACCAAGGCAACGAUGCGUAGCCGACCUGAGAGGGUGAUUGGCCAAACUGGAACUGAGAAACGGUCCAGACCCCUACGGGAGGCAGCAGUAGGGAAUCUUCCGCAAUGGGCGAAAGCCUGACGGAGCAAAGCCGCGUGAGGGAUGAAGGUCUUCGGAUCGGAAAACUCUGUUAUUAGGGAAGAACAAAUGUGUAAGUAACUAUGCCCGUCUUGACGGUACCUAAUCAGAAAGCCACGGCUAACUACGUG
This 497-nucleotide ribosomal RNA is filed under the name uncultured bacterium. RNAcentral's name for it is "partial 16S ribosomal RNA". It matches the Rfam family "Bacterial small subunit ribosomal RNA", at positions 28 to 507 of the family's 1533-position model. The record is from RNAcentral.